Long non-coding RNA from Betta splendens (Siamese fighting fish), 4776 nucleotides. RefSeq lists it as uncharacterized. The record is from RefSeq and is a predicted model, not a curated record. Lineage: Eukaryota; Metazoa; Chordata; Actinopteri; Anabantiformes; Osphronemidae. The transcript is spliced from 2 exons.
UAUAAUAUUAUUAGUAUAGUUAACUCAAUAAAUGCUUCCCUUACAUUCAUCUUUAAAACUUGGACUAAGAAAACCGACACAGUGAUAAUGACUGUUUGCUACACUAAGUCACAAAGGAAUGGCGGCCAGUGAGCACAGUGGCCCCAGGCACAUAUGCCGCUCUUUCUCCACCAAUGAUGACAUUACGUAAGUGUAUUGAGCCCAGGAGCAACGGCCCACAUGCCUGCUUUACUGUGCCACAGUGGGGCUUGGAUGGCUUUCUGUGGCAAGAGGAAGUGGAGAAAGAGGGGGAGAACGUAUCAGGCGCUUGAGCCUGAAGAGACAGAUGCAUACAGCUUUAAAUAGAUCUAAUCCCACCCCCGUCCUUGCACAUUCAUUCGGCCACUUUUCCUGCCACUGGGUCUCUGACAGAGCUCGUCGAGGUAUCAGGCAUCUACAGCUCUUCUUCAAUCAGCUGCAGUAAGCGAGCGAGUGGGUGGGUAGGAGGCUUUAGCUGGAUGCUGGCCCGUCUGUGGCCAUGCACAGCUGUGUAUGCACAGCGGGUAGAAGGCAUACGUGUGAGGCGAAUGCUGAGGGGGAUCUGAGCAGAGGGGAAUUUUUUAAAUGAAAGACAAACCACGGGGUCUGGUCAGAACAAGGGCACGUUAAUGACCUUGGUGGAGAUAAAUCUUGUCCCUAGCUUUUUUUAGAAAUGCUGUUUAUACAAAACCCCCAUUCUGAGAUAAGAAGACAAGGUUACUGGAAAGCUGCACGCUAAUAUUCCCUAAACACUGCCUUGAGACCAGUGGUUAACAGCGUACAAAUCAACAUUUGCUCAUCCAGUCGCUGUCUGCCUUCACCUGUCCAUCACAACAAACCCACCACUGUUCUUUCCCCUCCCUCCAUCUCUGCUUUUUACAUUCAUAUCCUCCCUCACAAGCAGCCGUCUCCUCCUCCUAUUGUCCCACUGUCUUUUGUUGUCCCCCGUCAACAAUAGAACACUUGAGGCCGUGUGUGUGUAUGUGUUUGCGCAUGACAAUGAGUCUUCAUUUCCUCCAGACUGGCUGCUUGGGUAUAAUAGGUCUUGUGUAACUGGCCGUGUAUGUGUGUACGCAGACUUAGCGCACUGCCUCUUUAAGUCAGGAGUGUGACAGCUUGCAGCUAUGCUCGAUCCCUGCCCCCUGCUAUUACUGCAACACACGGCUGUUUGUUAUCACACACAUGCACUUUGAGAGCGUUGCCUAAUGCACACAAAAGAACUUGUGUGGGGGCACUGCAGGUCUAGAAAUCUUCUACAGGUGAUCACUGCAUUGACCGAAAAGGACAUUUUACACAGCAAAAUGAGGCAAAGUCAAAAUAUGCCAUGGAAAAAUUUAUAAUAUUGAAUGCCUCAAAGGUAAGUAAUUAGGUUGCUUAUCAAGGUUUACACUCUUCACAUAGAGGCAGACUGAUAAAACUAAACACUUUCAGUGAUUUGAGCUAGUAUUUAAUUAUGUGUUUUUUGAUGCAAAUAUUAAUGUUAUAUUUUAUAUAUGUGCCAUAUGUGGUAUCGAUUGAUGAACUAAUUACUAUAAAAACUAAUAGGUGUAAGUAACUGGACUGUUGGUUAGCUCUUGUAGCUAGCUAGCUAGCUUUAACCUCACUUAAGCCACUCUGAAAUAAGGUUACAUUAAGAUUUUAACCACCAGGACCUCAUCCAACCACUAUUGUAUAAUUUUUUAAUAGCGUAUUCAUGUUGCAAUUGGACUGAUUAGGAUACAUCCCCCAGUUGUAUAAGUUGACCCAAAAGAGGUUUUGGUUGUAUGAUAAACAUUUCCAACAUUUCCUAAUGAUACAUUAUAGUUGUGUGACAAGGCUGAUCAAACCUAGUUUUAGAGAACUUAACCAGUGUUUUGCCAAUUUUUGAAAUUUGGCUGAAGAUCUACAAGCUACAGUAGAGACUGUCAUUUUGAGCCUGGAGACAGAGCCGCAACUCAUUCAUACUGAUAAUUUACAAGGCAUGUGAUCAUGAAAGUAGGGGAUUUUCCUUCACUGCAGGAAAGGGUUGGACUCCACCUUUUGCCAUCCAUCCUCAGAGAAAAGCUUAACACUAUCUUCAUGGUAAAGUACUUCAUCUGGAUCAUUCAACACAACUGACUGGUAGAUACUUACUAGUAGUCCUUGUCAGGGUUGCAGGUCUGCUAGAGACUACCCAUUCCCAAGCUGUCACUCAGGCGGGAGGUGGGGUUCACCCAGCCAGUCGAUCACAGGAGACAGACAAACCACUCACACCUAUGGGCAAUUUGGAAAUCUCCACUCAACCUAAUUGCGUUUGUUUGGAGCAUCUGGAGAGCCUGCUUGCUUUCAGGCAACAGUGCAAACAGUUGGUUUAUCAGUCAGCAUUUAGCUAGGUUUUAUAGACGGAUGUAUGAUAAUCGACACAGAAAACUUGAAAUUUCAUUUCUUGAAACACUCAGAGGCUAUUGAAAACCCAAAUUUUAAAAAGCACAGCUUAUAUUUUCUGUUAUUGGUUAAAUGUAUCAGUUUUUGCAUUUCUGUAUAAAUGAUUUUCUGGGGGCCUGCCUGUGUUGCGCAGUGGUUAGAGUGGUGCGCUGCUGACUCCUAGUUUUGUAGCUUGAAUCUUGCCAAACAACCAUGCAAAUUAUUCGUUAAGGUUAACACAUUGUAAAAAAUGUUUUACUGAGCCACUCUUUUUUUUCUCUCUAUAUGUUACUAUAUAUUAGCAGGUUGAAUAUAAUGUGACCAUUGGAUUUCAUUUUUCUUUGUUAAAGCUGUCAUGUCGUAUUUUACUGCUUUAGAAUUAAUCACGUCAGUGUGCUUUGGCAAGACUGUAUGAUUUUUCCCCACUGGCUCAUAUGCUUUAUUCCCGAGUAAUGAGUAACAUGGUAACCACGUAUGAAUGACAGAAUGUGUCAUUGCUGCCAUUCAUCUCUCUGCUCCAGCCGAACUCCGUCAACACUCACUGACACAUGUCUGGACCCAGUAUUUUAAGCUACUGUGCCUUUACUACUGUGUCAGUCCUGCUUUUCUCUGCCUCAUAAUCGCAAUCAGUUCAGCCAGUUCAGUAAAUUGCAAUUAGAGGUGUUUAGAACAUAAAUAAAGACUCUCUAAAACUAAAACUAUGCCUGUGACUGUACAGCAUACGCAGCGCAUGGCUUUCUGAUUGGUCAUCAGCCGGUUGAAUGAGCACAAGUUUGGAAAAACCUUAAAAUCAAUAUUAUUUCAUACUUGUGUUUUUACUGCACCUUUUAUACAGGUUAAUACAGUUUGAUCCACUUUAUAGAUGAACAUGAGAAUAAUAACAAUUAAAAAUAAUAAACGACUAUAUUAAAAUAGUAAAUGAGAAUCUGUGCAUUACUUUUCAGUUAGUUUACUUUAGCGUACUUGAACCUUUAUAAUAAUUAUUAUUAUAAAUUAUUAAAAGAUCAAAAAAAUGUAGUAGCCACAAAAUAUUUUCUAGGUCAGACUAUGUCAUAAAACUUCAAGUAAUUAAAUACUCUGUCAGGCUUGUCUGUCCAGACUAAAACAAGUUGGACAAAUAAAGAAAUGAAACCUGCAUUUGUUUAUUUUUUUAUUUAUCUCUAAAUAAAGCAUGGACUAUAGGUAUAGUAAAUCAUUUUCUUUUUGCUUCAUUUCUGUGACUGCUUGGUUUUAAGUUUGUGGAUACGCUGAUAUGAAAUUGUGUUUUACAGUGGGCCCAGCUAAAUAUAGACUCAAUCAAAAGGAUCACAGUUUGUCAGUAGAAUCAAAACGCCCUGUUCCAGAACACAAUCAAGCCUCCUCCAUGUAUCAUAGGAGCCACUGUAUCUACUGGACAGUACCACUGUAUCCUUCAUAUUUACUUCUGUGAACACAAAGCUGAUGUGAUUUGGGAAAAUCUUCCUGUUUGUUUUACUUGUUUUUUUGCAAGUUCUUUCCAACUCUAGGAUGUCCACCGUGGUUCAUGUGUCAUAGUUAUAGUAUCAGACUAUAGCACGCACUGAUAUAGUCAUGUACCUGGACACCGAGUUUCACCUCUGAUCUUUUUGAAAGUGAUUCUGCAGUCCUGUGUAGAAACAAACUGCUUGGAGUUGGUCUCAGUCUUAUCCUUCAAGCACAGCCUUCAAGUCUGCGAUUCUAAUCUGACCACUGUCUCAAGUUAUUUUCAGUCAAAUUUCCAAAAUGCUUCUGUUAAACCAGAUUUCUCAUGUAAUGUCUUGCUAAUUUAGUACAUUUGUAUAAAUAUGUGUGUACAUAUGUUUAAAAAUGUAGCCACAUUACUGUAAGAUAAGAUAAGAUAAGAAAACUUCGACUAUUCUUUAAUAGUCCCACAAUGGGGGAAAUUUCAUCUCACAACAGCACAGUAUGAUACAAAGGAAGAAAAAUACAGCAGCAAACAAAAAUACAGAAACAGAUCAGUGAAACUGGGUUGAGUUGGCACAGUAUAUUACUAAACCUUGAUCAGAGUGUACAUAUAUGUACAUAUUGCACAGUUAUGCACAAAUAUUGCGCAAAUAUUGCACAGAGCGAAUGUCUGUAUUACCACUGAUGCAGUGGGUGGUUUAUCGGUUUUGGUGUGGAAGGUAGUUAACAUUGUUAACAUUGUUGAUUGUAUAGUCUGAUCGCAGCAGAUAGGAAGGAUCUACGAUAUCUCUCCUUCACACAGCGAGUACAGUAUGUACGUUUCCACAUUUUUGAAUCCAGCUUUAAAACCUUGAGGCAGAUCACAAAAAAUAGAUCAAUCAUCUGGGGACAAUGAAUGUCUGUACACAUUUCCAUCACUAACCAAUUAAAAACUAUAAACUGUUUCAAAAGCUG